AUAUAUCAAGUUUUUCCUUUUGUGUUUUUUUGUGAAUUUGUCAUCUGAGUGCGGCGUUGUGUUGUUUGUCGUCUUGUGUGGCGUUUGAAUUCGCGUCUUGAUGCAGUGUUCGUUAGUUUUCUAUUGAAAGAUCCACUUCAGUCAAUUAUAAAUUCCAUCAAUUAUUUGGGUGUCGACGUUGCAUAUCCGGAAGCAUGGUAAUGUAGUGAGUUAUAAUUUAUCAUAUUAUUUGUA
RNAcentral lists this long non-coding RNA (234 nucleotides) under Medicago truncatula (barrel medic). RNAcentral's name for it is "long non-coding RNA (MTRU_LNC006953)". The record is from RNAcentral. Lineage: Eukaryota; Viridiplantae; Streptophyta; Magnoliopsida; Fabales; Fabaceae.